This 253-nucleotide ribosomal RNA is filed under the name uncultured bacterium. RNAcentral's name for it is "partial 16S ribosomal RNA". It matches the Rfam family "Bacterial small subunit ribosomal RNA", at positions 524 to 776 of the family's 1533-position model. The record is from RNAcentral.
UACGUAGGGUGCGAGCGUUGUCCGGAAUUAUUGGGCGUAAAGGGCUCGUAGGCGGUUUGUCGCGUCGGGAGUGAAAUCCACUGGCUUAACUGGUGGCUUGCUUUCGAUACGGGCAGACUAGAGGUAUGCAGGGGAGAACGGAAUUCCUGGUGUAGCGGUGAAAUGCGCAGAUAUCAGGAGGAACACCGAUGGCGAAGGCAGGUCUCUGGGCAUUAACUGACGCUGAGGAGCGAAAGCAUGGGGAGCGAACAGG